CAAACCCAAGGUUCACGGCCAGCGGGCAAACUCGCCCACCACACCUCGGUCUCCUAAGACCCUUUCCUUGGCAAUCCAAUGAAAGCUCGGUGGAACGACAAAAGCUACAACUCAGCGUGCACAUGACACCGCCACUUGUGCUUCCUAGGAGGGUGAGAGGAGAUGAGGCAGGUGCCACUAAUCCACCCUAAAAAUAGGGAGAAGGAUGAGCUUUCGUGUCGGGGGUUGGGGUGUUCACACUUAAACAUAAAUCAACUGGCAAAUUCAGCCCAACUCACGUGCUGGCCCUGUCCACACAGACGUCGACUCCAGCAAAAAUGUCCUGACUGACUUCAGGAGAGAGGAAUUAUUGCUACGUGCCUCUUUCCCAGUGAAGAAAAUCUCUGUUGGCUGCGAGCAGAGAAGCGGCGGAAGGAUUCCCGACUCCGGGAAGCCAGGUGUCGGAAGGAGGAAGUACGCUUGAAGGGGGUCCGGCUGGCCGACUCUGCACUCGUCCGUUCGUGGCCCACCGUGGUGGUCACCAAAUUGAGGGCUUCCUGGAAGGACCUCCUCACGGUGCCCAUCCACUGGGUCAUGUGGGUCUGGGCCACUGUGAGUUUAUCUCCCAGGUAAUCCAUGGGGCCAGCCAGGAGGAGAGGGAAGAAGGAAGUUAGGGAGGGAGAGAGCAAUUAAAACGCCAGUGUCCUCUUGCCUCUUUGGACUCUUUUGCUCAUGGAAGUUUUGGGCUUGCUUGGAGGAAAAAAAAUUAAAAACAGCAGCUUUCUUCAGGCAAACCAAGGGUAAGUAAACAUCCCUGAGCCAGGAGCCGGCUGCAUCCACGGGUGCCGCUCAGAAUUAAGAGGCAGCUAAGUGCCAGGCUGGGAGUCCACCCCAGCGGAGUUAUAAAGUCAACACACUGGGCAGUCCAGGUUCC
Molecule: long non-coding RNA, 913 nt
Filed under: Homo sapiens (human)
Lineage: Eukaryota; Metazoa; Chordata; Mammalia; Primates; Hominidae
Description: non-protein coding lnc-TMEM211-2:2
Source: RNAcentral